RNA transcript from Quercus robur (English oak), 1178 nucleotides. RefSeq lists it as uncharacterized. Lineage: Eukaryota; Viridiplantae; Streptophyta; Magnoliopsida; Fagales; Fagaceae. The transcript has 4 exons. The record is from RefSeq and is a predicted model, not a curated record.
UUUAGCUGUCUCUUUAUAUAUCAACUUCACUUCAAUUUUGCCUCUGCCCAUUUUUCCGCUUCGAGAAGAAACUCUAUGAAGAGAGAUAGGAUGUAGGAUUGUCUCCACUAGCCCGCCGCCGUCACACAGCGGAACCGCUGCCGGUGAAAUUUUCUUCUUUUGUUUUUCCCUUUCAGUCCACCGUCGAGCAUAGAACCUGUACCCUCUACCCCUCUCUCAAACACAGACCCAAGUUAUUUUGCAGAAAGCUUGCAAGGGCAUGACCAUGGGUACCAACAUUUUCAAUCUCCGACCUAGCCUCCAUACUCUCGGUUUUUAUCAGGAAAAUCUUAUGAUUCUAUUACUUCCAUGUCUACCAGAUUGCUUGCUAUUAGGGAAAAACUACCAAUUAAUGAGGAAAAUCAAGGCAAAGGUGAUGUAGUAAGAAAAUGUGGGUGUGGUUGUAAGAAAAUGUUUGCUUUACUCUCUGCCCUCUUCUACUAGACUCCAAUAUCUAACCCAAGUAUAGUUUUUUUGUUAUCUUUUUUAUUGCCUGAUUUGUUUUUAAAAAAAUAUCCGGUAGCAAUUUAGGUGGUCUAAUGUUGGUUCCUUAAAUUUUACUUGAUGUAUCAAUAUGUUUUUGAUUUGUGAAUUCCAUUAUUCUAAAUAUGUCAUACUGGAAAUUAUUGUUCCUAUAUCUUCAACACCUGUAGAUUAACCAAGUUCUAUUUCUUGGUUAUAUCUAUUAGGUGUUCGACAAAAUGCCUCUAAGAGCAGCUGGUAUUACUUGGCAUUUUUGCCUUUUAUAUAUAAAUCAUGUCAGAUGCCAAAACUCAUGUGCAAAUUAGUCCUCAAGCCUCAGUUGGUUGCAGCUUAGCUGUAAUGAGGAGGUGGCAAGUCAGUUGGUUUACAUGGUUUUUCUGCAAUUGAUAAAUCAUGACCCAAUUUGCAUAUAAACAUGCGACAGUGGAGAUAGGAUUUUACUUGAGGCAGUUCGGUUUUAUUAAUAUAGCACUUCAUUGCAACAUAUUUGGAUUUAGAAAAAUGCAAGGGUGUUUAGUGGCCAAGUAUUAUAAGAGGAGGCUAUGCUGUAUUUGUUCAAUUGUAACAUGUUUAGUUUAUCAUGGGCGUAAUUUUUGGGUGGAUUCAUGUUAUAGUCAUUUUAAUACUAUUUUAUCAAAAAGUUGUUCUCGUUCCAA